RNAcentral lists this unclassified non-coding RNA (346 nucleotides) under Hevea brasiliensis (rubber tree). The record is from RNAcentral. Lineage: Eukaryota; Viridiplantae; Streptophyta; Magnoliopsida; Malpighiales; Euphorbiaceae.
AUUGAUACAUAGUAGUAACAUUUUCCUUUUGGAUUUUUUCUUUCAACUAUGGUUUGUUAGUGUUCUUGUUGUUAUGUUUGUUGAUAAUCCCUUCUUCAGUCUGAGUUGAAGGCUUGUAAUAUCCAGUGACAGGGUCUGGUACCCAUGAUGACUCUGAAGAAAUAGAACUUACACUCUGAUCUUUCACUAAUUUUUGUUGAUGAUCCCUUUUAGUCGACCCUUCUUCUGCUUGUGUUGCACAAUACCCUCUCCUUGUAACAAGAUUCAAGGGAAGGCUACCAUCAACAAGGCAAUAAGAAGACUUGAAUUUGGAGAUGAUUCUUGUCAUAUUGCAAGCCAUUUUGAG